This 507-nucleotide ribosomal RNA is filed under the name uncultured delta proteobacterium. RNAcentral's name for it is "bacterial SSU rRNA". It matches the Rfam family "Bacterial small subunit ribosomal RNA", at positions 29 to 507 of the family's 1533-position model. Lineage: Bacteria; Deltaproteobacteria. The record is from RNAcentral.
AGUGAACGCUGGCGGCGUGCCUAACACAUGCAAGUCGCACGAGAACGCUUCAGCUUGCUGAAGUUAGUAAAGUGGCGCACGGGUGAGUAACGCGUGGGUAACCUACCUCCGAAUUGGGGAUAACAUUGCGAAAGCGAUGCUAAUACCGAAUAACAUCCCAAGCACUUCGGUACUUGGGAUCAAAGGUGGCCUCUCCUUGGAAGCUAUCGUUUGGAGACGGGCCCGCGUACCAUUAGCUUGUUGGUAGGGUAACGGCCUACCAAUGCUACGAUGGUUAGCUGGUCUGAGAGGAUGAUCAGCCACACUGGAACUGACACACGGUCCAGACUCCUACGGGAGGCAGCAGUGAGGAAUUUUGCGCAAUGGGGGAAACCCUGACGCAGCAACGCCGCGUGAGUGAUGAAGGCUUUCGGGUCGUAAAGCUCUGUCAAGUGGGAAGAACCUACAUGGUGCUAAUAUCAUCAUGUACUGACGGUACCACUGAAGGAAGCACCGGCUAACUCCGUG